RNAcentral lists this ribosomal RNA (460 nucleotides) under uncultured bacterium. Its description in RNAcentral is "partial 16S ribosomal RNA". It matches the Rfam family "Bacterial small subunit ribosomal RNA", at positions 338 to 795 of the family's 1533-position model. The record is from RNAcentral.
CCUACGGGUGGCAGCAGUGAGGAAUAUUGGUCAAUGGGCGGAAGCCUGAACCAGCCAAGUAGCGUGCAGGAUGACGGCCCUACGGGUUGUAAACUGCUUUUAUACGGGAAUAACGCUCCUUACGUGUAUUGCUCUGCAUGUACCGUAUGAAUAAGGACCGGCUAAUUCCGUGCCAGCAGCCGCGGUAAUACGGAGGGUCCGAGCGUUAUCCGGAUUUAUUGGGUUUAAAGGGUGCGUAGGCGGUGUGUCAAGUUAGAGGUGAAAUGUCCGGGCUUAACCCGGGAACUGCCGCUAAUACUGUUGAUCUAGAGAGUAGAGGCGGUAGGCGGAAUGUAUGGUGUAGCGGUGAAAUGCUUAGAGAUCAUACAGAACACAGAUUGCGAAGGCAGAUGACCAAUCUAUAUCUGACGUGGAGGAACGAAAGCGUGGGGAGCAAACAGGAUUAGAUACACGAGUAGUC